GACGAACGCUGGCGGCGUGCUUAACACAUGCAAGUCGAACGGUAAGGCUCCAGCUUGCUGGGGUACACGAGUGGCGAACGGGUGAGUAACACGUGGGUGACCUGCCCUGCACUUCGGGAUAAGCCUGGGAAACUGGGUCUAAUACCGGAUAGGACCGCACCGUGAGGGUGUGGUGGAAAGUUUUUUCGGUGUGGGAUGGGCCCGCGGCCUAUCAGCUUGUUGGUGGGGUAAUGGCCUACCAAGGCGGCGACGGGUAGCCGGCCUGAGAGGGUGGACGGCCACAUUGGGACUGAGACACGGCCCAGACUCCUACGGGAGGCAGCAGUGGGGAAUGUUGCACAAUGGGCGGAAGCCUGAUGCAGCGACGCCGCGUGGGGGAUGACGGCCUUCGGGUUGUAAACUCCUUUCACCAUCGACGAAGGGUUUCUGACGGUAGAUGGAGAAGAAGCACCGGCUAACUACGUGCCAGCAGCCGCGGUAAUACGUAGGGUGCGAGCGUUGUCCGGAAUUACUGGGUGUAAAGAGCUCGUAGGUGGUUUGUCGCGUCGUCUGUGAAAUUCCGGGGCUUAACUCCGGGCGUGCAGGCGAUACGGGCAUAACUUGAGUACUGUAGGGGAGACUGGAAUUCCUGGUGUAGCGGUGAAAUGCGCAGAUAUCAGGAGGAACACCGGUGGCGAAGGCGGGUCUCUGGGCAGUAACUGACGCUGAGGAGCGAAAGCAUGGGGAGCGAACAGGAUUAGAUACCCUGGUAGUCCAUGCCGUAAACGGUGGGCGCUAGGUGUGGGUUUCCUUCCACGGGAUCCGUGCCGUAGCUAACGCAUUAUGCGCCCCGCCUGGGGAGUACGGCCGCAAGGCUAAAACUCAAAGGAAUUGACGGGGGCCCGCACAAGCGGCGGAGCAUGUGGAUUAAUUCGAUGCAACGCGAAGAACCUUACCUGGGCUUGACAUAUACAGGAUCGCGCCAGAGAUGGUGUUUCCCUUGUGGCUUGUAUACAGGUGGUGCAUGGUUGUCGUCAGCUCGUGUCGUGAGAUGUUGGGUUAAGUCCCGCAACGAGCGCAACCCUUGUCUUAUGUUGCCAGCACGUUGUGGUGGGGACUCGUAAGAAACUGCCGGGGUUAACUCGGAGGAAGGUGGGGAUGACGUCAAAUCAUCAUGCCCCUUAUGUCCAGGGCUUCACACAUGCUACAAUGGUCGGUACAGUGGGUUGCCAGUCCGUGAGGGCGAGCUAAUCCCGCAAAGCCGGUCUCAGUUCGGAUCGGGGUCUGCAACUCGACCCCGUGAAGUCGGAGUCGCUAGUAAUCGCAGAUCAGCAACGCUGCGGUGAAUACGUUCCCGGGCCU
This 1341-nucleotide ribosomal RNA is filed under the name uncultured bacterium. RNAcentral's name for it is "16S ribosomal RNA". It matches the Rfam family "Bacterial small subunit ribosomal RNA", at positions 28 to 1381 of the family's 1533-position model. The record is from RNAcentral.